GGCUGGUUCAUAAGGUAGUGAGUUAUCUCAUAUGAUUGUUCCCAGUCAGUGACAGAUCGACCUUGUUCUAUUCUUUCCCCACUUCUCAUUACUGCACUUAACUAGUCUUAA
This is an unclassified non-coding RNA of Cercocebus atys (sooty mangabey), 111 nucleotides long. It matches the Rfam family "Y RNA". Rfam says of the family: Y RNAs are components of the Ro ribonucleoprotein particle (Ro RNP), in association with Ro60 and La proteins. The Y RNAs and Ro60 and La proteins are well conserved, but the function of the Ro RNP is not known. In humans the RNA component can be one of four small RNAs -- hY1, hY3, hY4 and hY5. The record is from Ensembl. Lineage: Eukaryota; Metazoa; Chordata; Mammalia; Primates; Cercopithecidae.